AUCGCUGCGCUCCUCUUUCCCCUCUGCCUCGCUCUCGUCUUCCUGCGGGCACAGCAGCACCCGCACCUUUCGCAGCAAAUCCUGAGCUCGGUACUUGGAUCUGUAGGGUUCGUUUUCCGGGUCGUUCUUGGAUUCCACAUCUGAUAAGGUGAUGGCCCGCUGAACUCGGUAUUCAUAAUGUGGAAGAAGGAAACGACACCAAAGCAAUAGAACUGUUCAGUGUCCCAAGGAUUACAGUUUGUCCUGUAGAAGGAGUGAUUAUUGGACUGAUACACCCUGGGAAACCAGCAGUAGUGGAUAACACAACAAGAGAAAACGGAUGUUCAAGCAAUAUUCAUUUCCUGAGAUACUAUACAGAUAUUUUGGCAACCAUUCAUACUGCUUAUAGCUGUUAAAGUUUUAUCCUAAGGCAUUCAUUGACACUGAAGUUUCCAUCCAACUAUCCAGAUUGCCCUAAAGGCUAUUUCAGAAAAGGAAGAGCUUCGCGAGGCUGCAGAAAACAUGGAUUUAAAGUUUAUUUUUGAGAUAAUCAUUCCUUUACUCCUAUACUGAAAAAAUGGCAAUGGACUUGGGUCAAGUGGGUGCAGAUAUGGAAGAAAACCAAAGGCAGAUAGCGAGAUUCUGAGAGAGAUGCAAAGGUGCCUUUGUGGCUAGACUCAAUGCUGGUCUUGUCUACAAGUCUUUUCCCAAGAUGGGAGAUCGAUGGAUCCCAGGCGACCUACUAACAUUCUCUCCAGCUUUUCAAAACUUUUUUGAAUAUGCUUCAACUGUUCGAUUUGAUCACAGAAUCCUUGGGAUUAGCAGGCCUGGACUGGGAGUCAAAAUAGGCCCUGCCAUUCCAAGUACACAGAGG
Long non-coding RNA from Xenopus laevis (African clawed frog), 853 nucleotides. RefSeq lists it as uncharacterized. NCBI's taxonomy places the organism in Eukaryota, Metazoa, Chordata, Amphibia, Anura, Pipidae. The record is from RefSeq and is a predicted model, not a curated record. The transcript has 7 exons.